UGCGCCUGCGGCGGACCCGGCACAGACUGAAAAACGGCUUCGCAGGCAGCCGGUCUGUGUACGGUCUCGUAUAUCCUGGAAUUUUCCAGGAUUUAACAAUUUCU
Molecule: small RNA, 104 nt
Filed under: bovine gut metagenome
Description: RT-5 RNA
Rfam family: RT-5 RNA
About the family: Clostridium (Firmicutes). Environment (Cow rumen (57))
Source: RNAcentral